UACGGAGGGGGCAAGCGUUGUUCGGAAUUAUUGGGCGUAAAGGGCGCGUAGGCGGCCGACCAAGUCGGGUGUGAAAUCCCUCGGCUCAACCGAGGAACUGCAUUCGAUACUGGUUGGCUAGAGUCCGGGAGGGGAUGGUGGAAUUCCCAGUGUAGCGGUGAAAUGCGUAGAUAUUGGGAAGAACACCGGUGGCGAAGGCGGCCAUCUGGACCGGCACUGACGCUGAGGCGCGAAAGCCAGGGGAGCGAAUGGG
This 253-nucleotide ribosomal RNA is filed under the name uncultured bacterium. RNAcentral's name for it is "partial 16S ribosomal RNA". It matches the Rfam family "Bacterial small subunit ribosomal RNA", at positions 524 to 776 of the family's 1533-position model. The record is from RNAcentral.